UACGUAGGGGGCAAGCGUUGUCCGGAUUUAUUGGGCGUAAAGAGCGUGUAGGCGGCCAAGCAGGUCAGCUGUGAAACUCGAGGCUCAACCUCGAGACGUCGGUUGAAACCGCUUGGCUAGAGUCCGGAAGAGGAGAGUGGAAUUCCCGGUGUAGCGGUGAAAUGCGCAGAUAUCGGGAAGAACACCCGUGGCGAAGGCGGCUCUCGUGGGACGGUACUGACGCUGAGACGCGAAAGCGUGGGGAGCGAACAGG
This 253-nucleotide ribosomal RNA is filed under the name uncultured bacterium. RNAcentral's name for it is "partial 16S ribosomal RNA". It matches the Rfam family "Bacterial small subunit ribosomal RNA", at positions 524 to 776 of the family's 1533-position model. The record is from RNAcentral.